This is a non-coding RNA of Potamilus streckersoni, 79 nucleotides long. NCBI's taxonomy places the organism in Eukaryota, Metazoa, Mollusca, Bivalvia, Unionida, Unionidae. The record is from the annotation of a GenBank genome assembly.
GCUCCGGUGGCCUAAGCGGUAAGAGUGUCCGCCUCAGAUGUGGGAGGUUGCUGGUUCGAUUCCUAGCUGAGUCAAAGCA